UCCCUGAUGGUAUAGUGGUUAGGACUUGGUGCUUUAACUCCUGGGGCCCAGGUUCGGUACCUGGUCAGGGAA
Molecule: transfer RNA, 72 nt
Organism: Ovis aries (sheep)
Lineage: Eukaryota; Metazoa; Chordata; Mammalia; Artiodactyla; Bovidae
Rfam family: tRNA
About the family: Transfer RNA (tRNA) molecules are approximately 80 nucleotides in length.
Source: Rfam